Molecule: ribosomal RNA, 372 nt
Filed under: Enterobacter sp. BV38
Lineage: Bacteria; Pseudomonadati; Pseudomonadota; Gammaproteobacteria; Enterobacterales; Enterobacteriaceae
Description: bacterial SSU rRNA
Rfam family: Bacterial small subunit ribosomal RNA
Source: RNAcentral
UUGGUGCCUUCGGGAACUCUGAGACAGGUGCUGCAUGGCUGUCGUCAGCUCGUGUUGUGAAAUGUUGGGUUAAGUCCCGCAACGAGCGCAACCCUUAUCCUUUGUUGCCAGCGGUCCGGCCGGGAACUCAAAGGAGACUGCCAGUGAUAAACUGGAGGAAGGUGGGGAUGACGUCAAGUCAUCAUGGCCCUUACGAGUAGGGCUACACACGUGCUACAAUGGCGCAUACAAAGAGAAGCGACCUCGCGAGAGCAAGCGGACCUCAUAAAGUGCGUCGUAGUCCGGAUUGGAGUCUGCAACUCGACUCCAUGAAGUCGGAAUCGCUAGUAAUCGUAGAUCAGAAUGCUACGGUGAAUACGUUCCCGGGUCUUG